CCAAUAGCGUAUAUUAAAGUUGUUGCAGUUAAAAAGCUCGUAGUUGAAUUUCGGGAUUAGUAAGUUGGUCGUGCCUCUGGUAUGUACUGGCUUUACUGGUUCCUCCUUCUUGAAGAACUGUAAUGUCAUUAAUUUGGUGUUGCAGGGAAACAGGACUGUUACUUUGAAAAAAUUAGAGUGUUUAAAGCAGGCUAACGCUUGAAUACAUUAGCAUGGAAUAAUGAAAUAGGACGUUUGAUCCUAUUUUGUUGGUUUCUAGGAUUGACGUAAUGAUUAAUAGGGAUAGUUGGGGGCAUUAGUAUUCAAUUGUCAGAGGUGAAAUUCUUGGAUUUAUUGAAGACUAACUACUGCGAAAGCAUUUGCCAAGGAUGUUUUCAUUAAUCAAGAACGAAAGUUAGGGGAUCGAAGACGAUCAGAUACCGUCGUAGUCUUAACCAUAAACUAUGCCGACUGGGGAUCGGAUGAUGUUAAUUUUUUAAUGACUCAUUCGGCGCCUUACG
Molecule: ribosomal RNA, 500 nt
Filed under: uncultured Glomeromycotina
Lineage: Eukaryota; Fungi; Glomeromycota
Description: partial small subunit ribosomal RNA
Rfam family: Eukaryotic small subunit ribosomal RNA
Source: RNAcentral